This 277-nucleotide ribosomal RNA is filed under the name uncultured prokaryote. RNAcentral describes it as "partial 16S ribosomal RNA". It matches the Rfam family "Bacterial small subunit ribosomal RNA", at positions 524 to 801 of the family's 1533-position model. The record is from RNAcentral.
UACGUAGGGGGCUAGCGUUAUCCGGAAUUACUGGGCGUAAAGGGUGCGUAGGUGGUUUCUUAAGUCAGAGGUGAAAGGCUACGGCUCAACCGUAGUAAGCCUUUGAAACUGGGAAACUUGAGUGCAGGAGAGGAGAGUGGAAUUCCUAGUGUAGCGGUGAAAUGCGUAGAUAUUAGGAGGAACACCAGUUGCGAAGGCGGCUCUCUGGACUGUAACUGACACUGAGGCACGAAAGCGUGGGGAGCAAACAGGAUUAGAUACCCCUGUAGUCCCUGAG